UCUACGUGAACUAGUCUUUCACUACUUCCUCCCUUCAUUUUCAUUCAUUUUUCUUUUUUUUUACUACUUCUUUGUCUCGUCUCCGGCGGGGCCAGGAAAUAACCCGAACUCUCGGUUCCCCGAUGUCAUUACGUAAGUCUACUAGAGGAUGUUGUCUAGUUAAACCUUCCCAUCCCCGAUGUUAUUAUGUAAGUCUACUAGAGGAUUUUGUCUAGUUAAACCUUUCCAUUACAUCUUGAGGAAUAAAAUAACAAUUAAAAAAGGGGUGCAACAAGAGGAUGGACGAACAUGUCAGCCAUAAUAGUAUUACUCUCAGCGAUGUACAUUUCACUUCAGAGUGUGAGGGGAUUCGAUGAAUUAGUGCUGUUAUGAUAACACCCCUCUGCUUCUCGCGCUCAUAUCUACAUGAACUAGUCUUUAACUACUUCCUCCCUUCAUUUGCAUUCAUUUUUCAUUUUUUACUACUUCUUUGUCUCGUCUCCGGCGGGGCCAGGAAAUAACCCGCACUCUCGGUUCCCCAUUGUCAUUAGGUAAGUCGGUACCCCGAUGUCAUUACGUAAGGCUACUAGAGGAUGUUAUCUAGUUCAACCUUUCCAUUACACCUAGAGGAAUAAAAUACCAAUAAAAAUAGGAAAAAUAAGUGGUCGAACAAGAGGAUCGAUGAACAGGUCAGCCGUCAUAGUACUACUCUCAACGAUGUACAUUUUUCUUUAGAGUGGUGACGAGAUUCGAUGAAUUAGUUAUGUUAUGAUCACACCCCUUUACUUCUCGUGCUCAUAUCUACGUGAACUAGUCUUUCACUACUUCCUCCCUUCAUUUUCAUUCAUUUUCUUAUUUUUUACAACGUCUUUGUCUCGUCUCCGGCAGGGCAAGGAAAUAACCCGCACUCUCUAUUCCCCGAUAUCAUUACGUAAGUCUACUAGAGGAUGUUGUCUAGUUAAACCUUUCCAUUACAUCUCAAGGAAUAAAAUAGCAAUAAAAAU
Molecule: long non-coding RNA, 983 nt
Filed under: Linum usitatissimum (flax)
Lineage: Eukaryota; Viridiplantae; Streptophyta; Magnoliopsida; Malpighiales; Linaceae
Description: long non-coding RNA (LUSI_LNC003457)
Source: RNAcentral